This 377-nucleotide ribosomal RNA is filed under the name uncultured eukaryote. RNAcentral describes it as "partial 18S ribosomal RNA". It matches the Rfam family "Eukaryotic small subunit ribosomal RNA", at positions 592 to 976 of the family's 1831-position model. The record is from RNAcentral.
CAAUAGCGUAUAUUUAAGUUGCUGCAGUUAAAAAGCUCGUAGUUGGAUUUCGGGUGGGAAUGGCCGGUCCGCCGUUUCGGUGUGCACUUGCUACGCCCACCUUGCUGCCGGGGACGUGCCCUUGAGUUCACGCUCGGGACACGGAGUCGGCGAGGUUACUUUGAGUAAAUUAGAGUGUUCAAAGCAGGCCUACGCUCUGAAUACAUUAGCAUGGAAUAACACGAUAGGACUCUGGCCUAUCUUGUUGGUCUGUAGGACCGGAGUAAUGAUUAAGAGGGACAGUCGGGGGCAUUCGUAUUUCAUUGUCAGAGGUGAAAUUCUUGGAUUUAUGAAAGACGAACUUCUGCGAAAGCAUUUGCCAAGGAUGUUUUCAUUGA